Molecule: ribosomal RNA, 484 nt
Filed under: uncultured bacterium
Lineage: Bacteria
Description: partial 16S ribosomal RNA
Rfam family: Bacterial small subunit ribosomal RNA
Source: RNAcentral
AUUGAACGCUGGCGGCAGGCCUAACACAUGCAAGUCGAGCGGAUGAAGGGAGCUUGCUCCUGGAUUCAGCGGCGGACGGGUGAGUAAUGCCUAGGAAUCUGCCUGGUAGUGGGGGAUAACGUCCGGAAACGGGCGCUAAUACCGCAUACGUCCUGAGGGAGAAAGUGGGGGAUCUUCGGACCUCACGCUAUCAGAUGAUCCUAGGUCGGAUUAGCUAGUUGGUGGGGUAAAGGCCUACCAAGGCGACGAUCCGUAACUGGUCUGAGAGGAUGAUCAGUCACACUGGAACUGAGACACGGUCCAGACUCCUACGGGAGGCAGCAGUGGGGAAUAUUGGACAAUGGGCGAAAGCCUGAUCCAGCCAUGCCGCGUGUGUGAAGAAGGUCUUCGGAUUGUAAAGCACUUUAAGUUGGGAGGAAGGGCAGUAAGUUAAUACCUUGCUGUUUUGACGGUACCAACAGAAUAAGCACCGGCUAACUUCGUG